This 73-nucleotide transfer RNA is filed under the name Bos taurus (domestic cattle). It matches the Rfam family "tRNA". Rfam says of the family: Transfer RNA (tRNA) molecules are approximately 80 nucleotides in length. Their secondary structure includes four short double-helical elements and three loops (D, anti-codon, and T loops). RNAcentral also lists the same sequence under 4 other names. Lineage: Eukaryota; Metazoa; Chordata; Mammalia; Artiodactyla; Bovidae. The record is from Rfam by way of RNAcentral.
UCUCUGAUGGUCCAGUGGUUAAGACCCUGUUCUUUCAAUGCAGAAGAUGCAGGUUCAAUUCCUGGUUGGGGAG